GGAUUGUGGCUCAGUGGUAGGGUGCUUGCUUAGCACAUGUGAGGCCCUGGGUUGGAUUCUCAGCACCA
Molecule: transfer RNA, 68 nt
Filed under: Marmota monax (woodchuck)
Lineage: Eukaryota; Metazoa; Chordata; Mammalia; Rodentia; Sciuridae
Description: tRNA.Ala
Source: RNAcentral